Non-coding RNA from Hymenopellis radicata, 98 nucleotides. NCBI's taxonomy places the organism in Eukaryota, Fungi, Basidiomycota, Agaricomycetes, Agaricales, Physalacriaceae. The record is from the annotation of a GenBank genome assembly.
GGAUAUGGUGUAAUGGCUAACAUUGCCGCCUCUCAUAAACAACAAGGCAGGCGACUGGAGUGCGCGGCAGCUCGGGGUUCGAUUCCCCGACGAAUCCC